GACAUCGAAGGAACGAUGUAGGCUGCCAGGGAUGGAAGCCAGGGAAAGUCGCAGGAUAGCGACAUCAUCAGGAUGAUGGCCCCAGGGACGAAGGGAAUGACAUGAAACGGCGAGAGCGAUCCUCUCGCCGUUUUUGU
Molecule: small RNA, 137 nt
Filed under: Azotobacter chroococcum NCIMB 8003
Lineage: Bacteria; Pseudomonadati; Pseudomonadota; Gammaproteobacteria; Pseudomonadales; Pseudomonadaceae
Source: RNAcentral